RNAcentral lists this ribosomal RNA (645 nucleotides) under uncultured bacterium. RNAcentral's name for it is "bacterial SSU rRNA". It matches the Rfam family "Bacterial small subunit ribosomal RNA", at positions 10 to 665 of the family's 1533-position model. The record is from RNAcentral.
AGUUUGAUCAUGGCUCAGAACGAACGUUGAUGGCGUGCCUCAUACAUGCAAGUCGAGCGCGGUAGCAAUACCGAGCGGCGAACGGGUGAGUAACACGUAAGGAAUCUGCCCUGAAGCGGGGAAUAACUAUCCCAACGGAUAGCUAAUACCGCAUAAUGAUGGAGACGGCAUCGUCUCUUCUCAAAAGCCUUCGGGCACUUCAGGAAGACCUUGCGUCCCAUUAGCUUGUUGGCGGGGUAACGGCCCACCAAGGCUACGAUGGGUAUCCGGCCUGAGAGGGUGUACGGACACAUUGGGACUGAGAUACGGCCCAGACUCCUACGGGAGGCAGCAGUAGGGAAUUUUGCGCAAUGGAGGCAACUCUGACGCAGCAACGCCAUGUGUGGGAUGAAGCAUUUCGGUGUGUAAACCACUGUCAGCGGGGAAUAAACGGCAGCUUCGGGCUGCUUUGAAUGUACCCGCAAAGGAAGCCCCGGCUAACUUCGUGCCAGCAGCCGCGGUAAUACGAGGGGGGCAAAUGUUGUUCGGAAUCACUGGGCGUAAAGGGAGCGUAGGCGGGUUUUUAUGUUAGGUGUUUAAGCCCGGGGCCCAACCCCGGACCGGCACUUAAAACUGGGAAUCUUGAAUAGUGGAGAGGUCGGUGGA